RNAcentral lists this ribosomal RNA (373 nucleotides) under uncultured organism. RNAcentral describes it as "partial 16S ribosomal RNA". It matches the Rfam family "Bacterial small subunit ribosomal RNA", at positions 527 to 896 of the family's 1533-position model. The record is from RNAcentral.
GUAGGAGGCGAGCGUUAUCCGGAUUUACUGGGCGUAAAGCGCGUGCAGGCGGUUUGGUAAGUCGGACGUUAAAGCUCCUGGCUCAACUGGGAGAGGCCGUUCGAUACUGUCAGACUAGAGGGCAGCAGAGGGAGGUGGAAUUCAGGGUGUAGCGGUGAAAUGCGUAGAUAUCCUGAGGAACACCAGUGGCGAAGGCGGCCUCCUGGACUGUCCCUGACGCUAAGACGCGAAAGCUAGGGUAGCAAACGGGGGAUUAGAAACCCCGGUAGUCCUAGCCGUAAACGAUGCAGACUUGGUGUUGGUGGUGUAGAAGCCAUCAGUGCCGUAGCUAACGCGAUAAGUCUGCCGCCUGGGGACUACGACCGCAAGGUUA